ACGCGUGAGAAUCUGGCUCUAGGUUCGGGACAACCACUGGAAACGGUGGCUAAUACCGGGUAUGCCGAGAGGUGAAAGGUUAACUGCCUGGAGAUGAGCUCGCGUCUGAUAGCUAGUUGGUGGUGUAAGGGACUACCAAGGCGACGAUCAGUAGCUGGUCUGAGAGGAUGAUCAGCCACACUGGAACUGAGACACGGUCCAGACUCCUACGGGAGGCAGCAGUGGGGAAUUUUCCGCAAUGGGCGAAAGCCUGACGGAGCAAUACCGCGUGAGGGAGGAAGGCUCUUGGGUUGUAAACCUCUUUUCUCAGGGAAUAAGCAAGUGAAGGUACCUGAGGAAUCAGCAUCGGCUAACUCCGUGCCAGCAGCCGCGGUAAUACGGAGGAUGCAAGCGUUAUCCGGAAUGAUUGGGCGUAAAGCGUCCGUAGGUGGCUGUGUGUGUCUAUUGUUAAAGAGUUUGGCUCAACCAAAUAAGGGCGGUAGAAACUACACAGCUAGAGUGCGUUCGGGGCAGAGGGAAUUCCUGGUGUAGCGGUGAAAUGCGUAGAGAUCAGGAAAACACC
RNAcentral lists this ribosomal RNA (562 nucleotides) under Nostochopsis sp. LCRSM-ALb. RNAcentral describes it as "bacterial SSU rRNA". It matches the Rfam family "Bacterial small subunit ribosomal RNA", at positions 113 to 710 of the family's 1533-position model. The record is from RNAcentral. Lineage: Bacteria; Bacillati; Cyanobacteriota; Cyanophyceae; Nostocales; Hapalosiphonaceae.